GUCCAAAGGAAUAGCUCAGCUGGUAGAGAUUGAGACUCUUAAUUUCAGGGUUGUGGGUUUGUGUCUCACGUUGGGCA
Non-coding RNA from Podarcis lilfordi (Lilford's wall lizard), 77 nucleotides. The record is from the annotation of a GenBank genome assembly. Lineage: Eukaryota; Metazoa; Chordata; Lepidosauria; Squamata; Lacertidae.